AUUGAACGCUGGCGGCAGGCCUAACACAUGCAAGUCGAGCGAGAGGCGGACGGGUGAGUAAUGUAUCGGAAUGUGCCCGGUAGAGGGGGAUAACUACUGGAAACGGUGGCUAAUACCGCAUACUAUAGGCUCGGCCGAUAUGGGAUUAGCUAGUGGGUGGGGUAAAGGCUGACCAGGGCCACGAUCCGUAGCUGGUCUGAGAGGAUGAUCAGCGACACUGGAACUGGGACACGGCCCAGACUCCUACGGGAGGCAGCAGUGGGGAAUAUUGGACAAUGGGGGAAACCCUGAUCCAGCCAUGCCGCGUGUAUGAAGAAGGCCUUCGGGUUGUAAAGUACUUUUGGCUGGGAGGCGUUACCUGCAGAAUAAGCACCGGCUAACUCCGUGCCAGCAGCCGCGGUAAUAC
Molecule: ribosomal RNA, 406 nt
Filed under: uncultured bacterium
Lineage: Bacteria
Description: partial 16S ribosomal RNA
Rfam family: Bacterial small subunit ribosomal RNA
Source: RNAcentral